Molecule: long non-coding RNA, 695 nt
Organism: Varroa destructor (honeybee mite)
Lineage: Eukaryota; Metazoa; Arthropoda; Arachnida; Mesostigmata; Varroidae
Source: RefSeq, a predicted model, not a curated record
CGCUUGCUGUGCGUUAUACUUGUAGAGAACGAGCGUUUCGACCGGAAAAGACCGGUGAACUUCCAGUUAAGUCGUUAACAUUCGAUCGAUAUAUUGGACCCUUCAAAUUACGGAAGACGUGUUAAACGUUACCGUUGAACGCUAUCCAUUUCCAUCCGAGCAAUUUCACUAUACGAUAAAGCGAGCGAGAUUAACAAACGUUUUCUGCCAGACUAGCUUCUGUACCGAGUCGUCGCCCUUUGGAGUUGAAUUUUAGUUGGGAUAUUAAGACUGACCAGCACUAGAAUAUACCUCAGAACUAUCGACAGUUGAUAGUGUCGAACUGAUGUCCUUUCGACACCACACACCGUCACAAUCUGCUUGCCACCUUGUUAGAUGUAUCUACGAUACCACGUUUUCCCCCUACGCGUGACUUUGACCGUACCAAUUGGUGAGCACCUACUGCGUGAAGUCAAGCCGUUCGAAACUACAGUCAUGGAUAAAUUAACGGCAAUAGCAUGGCCGCUAGAGGUGGCUUGAAUGAGCAAUGCAAACCCUUCGAAAAUUCUAAACUAAAUACAUAGAAAGAUCAGUAACUUGACGAAAAUGAACAGCAAAAAUGCUUCAGGGAGAGACAUGAACUCCUGAGCGAUUGGUGCAUCAGCUUAAGCGGACAUUAUAAAGUUUCGUGCGAAUAAAUUUGCAUUUUUCCCGCA